Stegastes partitus (bicolor damselfish) is the source of this 656-nucleotide long non-coding RNA. RefSeq lists it as uncharacterized. The transcript is spliced from 3 exons. The record is from RefSeq and is a predicted model, not a curated record. Lineage: Eukaryota; Metazoa; Chordata; Actinopteri; Pomacentridae.
UAGUAACAUUGAGUCAUUUUGAAGCUGUACUCUUGUGGAAUAUUAAUAAAAACUCAGUAACAUUUGAGUCUCAUAGGUAAAUGGUAAGAAUUGACACAUGAUGUAUAAUAAGUCAGUGUCCUCGUUAUCUGAUCACGUCUUUGUUUUCUUCUCAACUUUUACAUUUUGUUCUUACAAAGGCUGCUGACACUAAAUCUGAUGAGAAAACAAGCUCACACCUGACACAGAGACAGGAACAGAAGUCAGACAAUGGAGGGGAUGUCUCCAGGUCACCAACCCCCUCCUGCCCUCCCAGUAAGAGUGAUGAGGACGGUAAGCGUCUAGUGGCAGCAGAUGUCUUGGAGGUAUCCACUGGACCUCAGACACCACAAAAUUCAUCAGUCAGUGAAUAUUCGACUGUUUGCUUCCAUGCUGUCCUUUCCAAAGACUUCCAUUUUGAUCCAGAGAAGGACUUCGUUUUUCUUAAAUGUGAAGCAUUGUGUGGAAACUGGGAUCGUGGUUAUACAAUGGUUCCCAGGCUUCUUGGGGACAAGCAAUAUCUUGUUGAACGACAAGUUCUGAUUCCCAAAAACAGAAUUCACGAGAGCCUCCCCUACAAAUACGCUGUUUACAAGCCCAGUGGAAACCGCUAUAAGGUCAUCUAUGAGACUCUUUAC